UGGCUCAGAACGAACGCUGGCGGCAGGCUUAACACAUGCAAGUCGAGCGGGUGUAGCAAUACAUCAGCGGCAGACGGGUGAGUAACGCGUGGGAACGUACCUUUUGGUCCGGAACAACCCAGGGAAACUUGGGCUAAUACCGGAUAAGCCCUUACGGGGAAAGAUUUAUCGCCGAAAGAUCGGCCCGCGUCUGAUUAGCUAGUUGGUGAGGUAAUGGCUCACCAAGGCGGCGAACAGUAGCUGGUCUGAGAGGAUGAUCAGCCACAUUGGGAUUGAUCUUCGGCCCAGGAUCCUACGGGAGGCAGC
RNAcentral lists this ribosomal RNA (306 nucleotides) under uncultured Bradyrhizobium sp. Its description in RNAcentral is "bacterial SSU rRNA". It matches the Rfam family "Bacterial small subunit ribosomal RNA", at positions 20 to 352 of the family's 1533-position model. The record is from RNAcentral. Lineage: Bacteria; Pseudomonadati; Pseudomonadota; Alphaproteobacteria; Hyphomicrobiales; Nitrobacteraceae.